UGGGAAGUACGCAAACAGGUAAAGCGACUUGACUUUGAAUCAAGUGGUUGAGGGUUCGAUUCCUUCCUUCCCAG
Oscillatoriales cyanobacterium is the source of this 74-nucleotide transfer RNA. It matches the Rfam family "tRNA". Rfam says of the family: Transfer RNA (tRNA) molecules are approximately 80 nucleotides in length. Their secondary structure includes four short double-helical elements and three loops (D, anti-codon, and T loops). Further hydrogen bonds mediate the characteristic L-shaped molecular structure. tRNAs have two regions of fundamental functional importance: the anti-codon, which is responsible for specific mRNA codon recognition, and the 3' end, to which the tRNAs corresponding amino acid is attached (by aminoacyl-tRNA synthetases). tRNAs cope with the degeneracy of the genetic code in two manners: having more than one tRNA (with a specific anti-codon) for a particular amino acid; and 'wobble' base-pairing, i.e. permitting non-standard base-pairing at the 3rd anti-codon position. Lineage: Bacteria; Bacillati; Cyanobacteriota; Cyanophyceae; Oscillatoriales. The record is from Rfam.